Molecule: RNA transcript, 5049 nt
Organism: Crotalus tigris (Tiger rattlesnake)
Lineage: Eukaryota; Metazoa; Chordata; Lepidosauria; Squamata; Viperidae
Gene: ASB13
Gene name: ankyrin repeat and SOCS box containing 13
Exons: 2
Source: RefSeq, a predicted model, not a curated record
CCGGCUAGCACUCCGCACUCGCGGCUUAGGCUUAGCCCGGGAGAGACGUGGUGAAGAUGGGCUCUGGUUUCUAGCAGAACGACAAAACUCUGGAUUUCCCCAGGUUGUACCCUUCCCUUCUCUUCCCUUCUCUGCCUCAGCGCUGCUUUCUCAAACCGCCGAGGGUCAGAGCCUGUUUUGCAGGCCUCGGCUAAGCCUCUCGAGCUAUUUAUAGCUCCCAGGCAGAGGCAGAAGCGCAGCGGUCGCCAUUUUGAGCGCCGCUUUGAUUGCUCCUGAGGGGAGUGGGGGAACCUUCCCUUCCUUCCAGCGAGGGCCGUUUAGACUCAACUAGAGUCAGUUUUAGCCAGAAUUGAGUCUGCAGUCUUCUUAGUCAGCAAAUAGAAGCAGCUGCCGCAUUCAUUAACUCGGAUGUAACGACGGAGCAGGAGGCCGCUUGCUGGCGGCCGCCAUUUUGAGAGCCCAACAAACGCCCUCAGGCCAUUCCAGAAGGCCAGAGUUCAGGAGCGGUUUUUGGAAGGUGCUGCUUCUCCCAUCGUUGGCACCUCGCCGCACACCAAGGCUGUUACAAUUACAGGCAAAACCAACAGCCUCCUUCCAAAGACUUCAGUUGGUGGCUGAGUGCCUGCUUUAACUGCCGCCAUUUUCAGCGCCUCUUCCUACCACCGAUUUCGCUGCUUAUAACUGCUGACUACCCUCAUUAAGUUGGUCUUGUGGCCACUACCAGGCUUGUAAUUGUGCUGGCUACCCCACUAAGGUGGUCUUGCUGCCACCACUUCUAGCCAUCACUUGGCUCCUGGGACCACCUCUCUAUUGGAAACCCGUUGAGAUUGCCAUUUCUGUGAUAUCUCUUGACUUUUUUGCAAUGGCAGGUAAAGCCACAGCAGCUCAGGGUGUCUCCAGCAGUCCCUCCAGGCUGGGGAACGCCAGAUCAGCCAAGCAGGAGGCUGCUGGGAAACUCAGAGCCAGAGCUAUCGCUGGCAGAAAAUCUCCCAAAGCUGCUGGGAAAGAAGCAAACGGGAGGCAACAGGCAUUGGGAAAACAAUUCUCCAAUGCUGCAGGGCAACAGAACGAGGCAAAGGUUGAUGAGAUGACUUCGGUUCCCAUGGAAGUGUCGGUUUUUGACCCUCAACAAACUGCUUCAACCUCUGCUGCUCCAGGUGCCUGCUCUCCAGAAGGGGAAACAGGUCAGUCCAUUUCUCCCAUGGCAGAACAGGUGGAGAUGGUUGACCCUCAACAAGCUCCUUCGACCUCUGCUGCUCCAAGUGCCUGCUCUGCAGAAGGGGAAAGGUCCAUUUCUCCCAGGGCAGAACAGGUGGAGAUGGUUGACCCUCAACAAACUCCUUCGACCUCUGCUGCUCCAAGUGCCUGCUCUGCAGAAGGGGAAGCAGGUCAGUCCAUUUCUCCCAUGGCAGAACAGGUGGAGAUGGUUCCCCCUUCCAGUGAGGGGCUUGGCCUUCCGAUCCCUGCUCCUCCAAGUAAAGCUGGACCUCUGGGCCCAGAGGCCACAUUCACUCCUACAGCGGCAGGGCUUCGCCCUCCAGAGGCUCAAGAGAUAGCACUAUCAGAACAAAUGCAGCUUCUGAUUUCUCAGGCUGUUGCCCAAGCUGUAGCUUCGACCCUACACCAGAGAGCUCGACCUGAGUCGAUAGCAUCAGGAGUCCCAUCUCACAGCAAUGCAUCGUACCUCUCCCAGGUGGAAGCAGCCACAUACCAGGGGCCAGUAUCCCCCUUCAGUUCCUCCAGAAGGUCGUUCACGGGGGAUGACGAACAGAGAGAGCUGGGGCUGUCAGACGAUGAGGACUUACCUCCUGAUCCCCCUGCUUUCACAGGCCUGUUUAAUCCGGCCCUCCUUAAAUCCUUGCUUCACAAGGCCAGGAGCACUGCUCAACUUGGUCCUGAAGUUGUCCCUGAGGCUGAACCUUCCACCAGUCAGGGACCUACCAGUGUGAUCUGUUCACAGCCAACGUUUACCCAACAGGACAUUCCCUGUCCUCCCCUUUUCCUCAAUGAAGUCCAAAGACAAUGGGGAACGCCAAGUAAUUUUCCACAUCCGGCAGGGACUGAUAAACAGUUCUUUAAUGUGGCUCCAGCACUGUCAGAGGUGCUAGAAGUCCCCAGGGUAGAUGAGCCCUUAGCAACAACAAUUGAUCCCAACAUCACUGUGUCUGGAGAUAUAGCGGAGGUUCUGAAGUCAGAGGAUAAGAGAGCGGAGCAUAAUUUCCGCAAGACCCACCAAGCCUCAGCAUGGGCGGUAAAGGCAGCUACAGCAACUUCCUUUUUCGCCAGAGUUUCAGUCCUCUGGCUUCGCCAAUUACAGGCUAAGGUACCACCAGAAGAGGUACGGAUGCACCAAGAUUUAAAUAAAUUAGUGGCUGCAUCAGAAUACAUGGCUGACUCAUCCUCGCACGCGGCCAGAUUUUCCUCCCAAGCAUUAGCAUCUAAUGUUACCUCUCGCAGACUUCUGUGGCUCAGACAGUGGAAAGCGGAUGUUAAGUCCAAGUGGCGGUUGGCCUCAUCCCCUUACAGGGGAGGCCAGUUAUUUGGAGAGGCACUAAACCCUUAUCUGACUGAGAGGAAGGAUAAGCGUAAAGUCAUGUCCCCUCUUCUUAAGAGACCGAACAAGAAAGCUACCCCUUAUCCCCGCAAGAGGUUCUAUCCUCAUCCUCACAGCUCAACCAACACAGGGUCGGAAUUCACCCAUUACUCCCCUCCUCAUCCUCCCAGACCAGACCCUCAAUUCGACAGAUCUGGUUACAGAGGCAGACCCAGACAGCAAUUUCAGUCUAAACGGCCCUUUCGAGGCAGAGGCCGUCCUUUCAGAAGAUCCUAGUGACACCAGAGGUGCCUCUCCCAUAGGGAGCAGAUUGGCUCUCUUUACAUGCAAAUGGGAGAACACCACUACAGAUCUCUGGAUCCUCCACACCAUCAGAUUCGGCCUGACUCUAGAAUUCAACUCCACCCCCCCGAGGCAUUUCGUCUCUUGCCCAUCAUCCAAAAAUCCGGUCAAAAUAAGCCUCAUGAAAGAGGCCGUUCGACAUCUCCUGGAGAUCCACACCAUAGAACCGGUACCGGUAGGGCAGAAGGGACGGGUUUUUUUAUUCCACUCUGUUCAUCAUUCCGAAGGCCUCGGGAGGGUGGAGGGCAAUUCUAGAUUUAAAGAAAUUAAAUAUCCAUGUGUCACAGAAAAAGUUCAAGAUGCAAAUGCUCCAAUCCCUAUUAGCAGACAUCAGAAGGGGGGACCUGACGUUCAUCGACCUGACGGAGGCCUACCUAUACGUUCCCAUCCUUCCCGGCCACCAUUUUCAGUACAGAGCUCUACCAUUUGGCUUGUCAUCGGCCCCCAGAGCGUUCACGAAGGUCCUGGCGGCGCUCGCCGUGCAUCUCAGGACCGUUCCGUGUCCAGUGUUGUUUGCACGACAUCCUCAUUCGAUCCUCAGUCCAAUUGGCUCAGUCAGAACUGGCAUUGUCCAUCAAGAGCUUUCAGGACCACAGGCUUUCAGUAAAUGUUCAGGAAAGCCAGCUAGUUCCCUCCACCCGCCUCCUUCAUCUGGGCACGGUGGUAGAUACAAGGAAGUGCGAGGUUUACCUGCCUCAGGAACAUUGGGGUAGUAUCCAAUCUCUCCUCGUUGGAGGAUACCCCAAGAUGGAAUCUCCUUCAGAUAGGGGGUUCUACAUUGGCUCCAGCUAACCGGCGGGCAUUUGAAAGACUCCCAACAAAAGAGCUACUCAUCAGAGGUGAUUACCACGAUUCAGGCUUCAAGAAGGCCUGCAACUAAUAGGAUCUAUGAUUCCGCAUGGAAGAAUUUAUGUAACUGGUGUGGGAGACAACAAUUAGAUCCAGCUACAAUUCCUAUUCCAAGAAUUUUGGAUUAUUUACUGGAGGGACUUAAGAGGGGGUUUAGCACCCAACAGAAUCCGCAGAAAAGUUGCUGCCUUGUGCACAGUGCUCAAAUAUGGCAACUCAGAGCCCUUGGCUUAACACCCCAUGAUACAUUCCUCUGUCAGGGGAGCAAUCAACAGCAAACCGCCUGUGGUUCACAGAUAUCCCCCUUGGGACCGCUCCAAGGUCUUACAGGCUCUCACUUCCCCUCCAUUUGAGCCCGUCAGAAAGUCCACGUCCGAUUCUGGACACUCAAGGCUGCCUUAGUUACAUCGGCUCAGAACAUCUCAGAAUUGGCAGCACUCUCCAUUAGAGAUGACUUAUGUAUUUUUCUACGCUUAAUGACUUACGUAUGUUUCUAUGCUUACACCCCUCCUUUAUCCUCAAAAUCAACUCAUCGUCUCACAGGGCGCAGGAGCUUGUGCUGCCAGAUUAUUGCCCUGAGUCGUCCCAUGAUUUGGAAUGUAAAUGGCACACCUUGGGCGUUCGCAGAGCCUUGCGUUGGUAUAUUAAGCAAACUGCCCCUUUUCGCAACUCUGAAGCCCUCUUCGUUCUAGGACAACUCACUGCACACUCCACUCGCAGUGUGGCAACUUCGGCGGCGGCGGCAACAUAAGUGUCCAUCAAAGAGAUCUUGCGAGGCAGCGAUGUGGUCGUCACCUUCCCCAUUUGUGAAGCUUUAUAAGUUAUGUUAGCCUCAGCAGACGCUUCAUUUGGCAGGAGACUCUUCCAAAGGAUAGUAACAGAGAGUGGGACACAGGCCCAGACUUCUUCCCGCCCGUGGGAACAAUGAGGCUUUGGUAUGUCCCAUCUGUGGAUCCUCCAUUCGUCAUGCUGGAGAAGGGAGGUUGUCUUACCUGAACACUUUCUCAGCAUGAUGAUGGAGAAUCCACUCCCCCCCCCCCCCAAGGGUUCAUCCGGUCCUGUGUCGGGGGAAUUUGAGCCACCACCAGCUUGGGAAAUCAUCAACUGCUGUGCCUUCGUGGUGACUGGGGAUUCCUAGCCGGAGGAAGAGAGGCGUGGCAAAAGGUUGAUUGACAUAGUCUCUAGGGCAGAAAGGCAAGAUCAACCCAUCCGUGGAUUCUCCAUCGUCAUGCUGAGAAAAGGCGUUCAGCGUUUUGGGCCGAGAGGACCCCGGUUCACGAAGCCGCCCGAAGCGGGGAGAUCCA